Molecule: RNase P RNA, 316 nt
Filed under: bovine gut metagenome
Description: Bacterial RNase P class A
Rfam family: Bacterial RNase P class A
About the family: Ribonuclease P (RNase P) is a ubiquitous endoribonuclease, found in archaea, bacteria and eukarya as well as chloroplasts and mitochondria. Its best characterised activity is the generation of mature 5'-ends of tRNAs by cleaving the 5'-leader elements of precursor-tRNAs.
Source: RNAcentral
UCGCUUGAAAUACAGAGGAAAGUCCGGGCUUCACAGGGCAGGAUGCCGGAUAACGUCCGGUGGAGGUGACUCCAAGGAAAGUGCAACAGAAAGUAUACCGCCUGCCUUCACAGGCAGGUAAGGGUGAAAUGGCAGUGUAAGAGACUACCGCCCGGGUGGUAACACGCGGGGCAUUGUAAACCCCAUCCGAAGCAAGACCAAGAAGAAGCAAUACGGUUGCCCGCCGUGCUUCGGGUAGGUCGCUUGAGGUCGCCGGCAACGGCGAUCCUAGAUAGAUGAUUGUCGCGGAUAUUCCGUACAGAACCCGGCUUAUGGU